AAUAUGAAGCCGGACUGGGAUAGGGCCUCGCUGCCUUGCCCGUCUGGCGCCAUAUUCACCCAUGUCUUUUUGCGUACUACUUGUUUCCUUGGCGGGUCCGCCCGCCAAUUGGACCUUAUUCAAACCUUUUUUUCAGUUGCAAUCAGCGUCAGCAAAACAAAUGUAAUCAAUUACAACUUUCAACAACGGAUCUCUUGGUUCUGGCAUCGAUGAAGAACGCAGCGAAAUGCGAUAAGUAGUGUGAAUUGCAGAAUUCAGUGAAUCAUCGAAUCUUUGAACGCACAUUGCGCCCUUUGGUAUUCCAAAGGGCAUGCCUGUUCGAGCGUCAUUUGUACCCUCAAGCUUUGCUUGGUGUUGGGCGUCUUGUCUCUCUCCCGAGACUCGCCUUAAAAUCAUUGGCAGCCGGCCUACUGGUUUCGGAGCGCAGCACAUUAUUUGCGCUCUUGUCCAGCCGCGGUCGCGCGUCCAUGAAGCUUCUUUCAACCUUUUGACCUCGGAUCAGGUAGGGAUAC
RNAcentral lists this ribosomal RNA (512 nucleotides) under Pyrenophora tritici-repentis. RNAcentral's name for it is "eukaryotic LSU rRNA". The stretch from base 175 to 328 matches the Rfam family "5.8S ribosomal RNA". The record is from RNAcentral. Lineage: Eukaryota; Fungi; Ascomycota; Dothideomycetes; Pleosporales; Pleosporaceae.